RNAcentral lists this unclassified non-coding RNA (661 nucleotides) under Hevea brasiliensis (rubber tree). Lineage: Eukaryota; Viridiplantae; Streptophyta; Magnoliopsida; Malpighiales; Euphorbiaceae. The record is from RNAcentral.
GUCCUUGGUCAUGAAUUUCUUCUGCUAUUUCUUGAAUCUGGAACUGUUAGAUCCUUGGGAAUGGCUGUGCGGUAAUUCCUCCUCUUUUCUUGAAACUAGAAGUUCUUCUAAAUUUCCCUUUGUACUUGCUAAUCUUUCUAUUCCUUUUUCUCUUUUUCUCGGUCUUGCCUUAUUUCUUUCUUUGUCAUCUCUAAAUCUGUUUUUCCCUUUCUAUUCUAUUCCUCUACCUUAUUCUCUCUUUUCCUUAUUUUCUUGGUUAUCGAACAGAGCCAACAAUACUUGGCUAUGGCGGACGGGAUCGGUUCACACGAAUUGGAAAGAAAAGUUAUAACUAUUACGCAAGACUUUGAGUUACGGCAAGAAACUCUGAGGAAAGAAGCAGAGCAGCGUAAUCAAGAAGCUUUAGAUGAAAUUAAACUUUACUUAAAAGGUUUAGCUUGCAAAAUAUGCAAAUCGCUGGUGGGGAAAAUGCAGAUGAAGGUGCAAGAACAACGAAAGAAGGAACUCCAAGAAUUAAUCAUCCAUGGGCAUGGGAGCGUUUCUCUAAGCUAGACUGUCCUUGCUUUGAUGGGGAGAGGCUGGAGGAAUGGUUACUGCAACCGGAAGAUCCAUUAAUGGACUUAAGGAAUUUGAAUCGAGAAUCUACCUUGCAAGAUUAUUG